GUUAUUUCUAAGUGUUGCAUCUACACUGAUAUCAUAUAUAUGUACAUUAGCAGCACUAGCAGUUGUGAAUCCUGCCCACUUCUUUGCAUGGUCAGCACAUGCUUCAGUGCUCUGAGAGUGUUUAUAGAGCUGUGAGUUUAACACUUCAUGACUGAGAGCAGAACAGAACACAAUCUUCAUCAUCACACAAGACACAACAACAACAAUGAACAACAUCAUCAUCCUCAUCUGGACCAGUGGGGUUUUUAUUCAUGAAUCCAGAGGAAUCACUUUGACUCAGCCUAAAGUUAAGACUGUCCAGCUCGGUCAAACAGCUACAAUAGAGUGUAAUCUGGAUGUAGGACUAACCUCUAAUGAUUUGGCCUGGUAUCAGCAGAAACCUGGAGAAACUCCUAAACUCCUCAUUCAUGACAUAAACAGCCUCCAGUCAGGAACUCCAUCUAGAUUUAGUGGCAGUGGAUCUGACUAUGGAAGUGAUUUCUCUCUGACCAUCAGUGGAGUCCAGACUGAAGAUACAGGAGAUUAUUACUGUCAGAGUUUACACUAUCCAGUCAACAGUCAAUAUGUGUUCACACAGUGA
Non-coding RNA from Carassius auratus (goldfish), 580 nucleotides. The record is from the annotation of a RefSeq genome assembly. NCBI's taxonomy places the organism in Eukaryota, Metazoa, Chordata, Actinopteri, Cypriniformes, Cyprinidae.